This 1449-nucleotide ribosomal RNA is filed under the name Clover yellow edge phytoplasma. RNAcentral describes it as "16S ribosomal RNA". It matches the Rfam family "Bacterial small subunit ribosomal RNA". Lineage: Bacteria; Bacillati; Mycoplasmatota; Mollicutes; Acholeplasmatales; Acholeplasmataceae. The record is from RNAcentral.
UUUAGUGGCGAACGGGUGAGUAACACGUAAGCAACCUGCCCUUAAGACGAGGAUAACAAUUGGAAACAGUUGCUAAGACUGGAUAGGAAAAGUAAAGGCAUCUUUACUUUUUUAAAAGACCUUCUUUGGAGGUAUGCUUAAGGAGGGGCUUGCGACACAUUAGUUAGUUGGCAGGGUAAAGGCCUACCAAGACUAUGAUGUGUAGCUGGACUGAGAGGUUGAACAGCCACAUUGGGACUGAGACACGGCCCAAACUCCUACGGGAGGCAGCAGUAGGGAAUUUUCGGCAAUGGAGGAAACUCUGACCGAGCAACGCCGCGUGAACGAUGAAGUACCUCGGUAUGUAAAGUUCUUUUAUUAAGGAAGAAAAAAGAGUGGAAAAACUCCCUUGACGGUACUUAAUGAAUAAGCCCCGGCUAAUUAUGUGCCAGCAGCCGCGGUAAUACAUAAGGGGCGAGCGUUAUCCGGAAUUAUUGGGCGUAAAGGGUGCGUAGGCGGUUUAAUAAGUCUAUAGUUUAAUUUCAGUGCUUAACGCUGUUGUGCUAUAGAAACUGUUUUACUAGAGUGAGAUAGAGGCAAGCGGAAUUCCAUGUGUAGCGGUAAAAUGCGUAAAUAUAUGGAGGAACACCAGAGGCGUAGGCGGCUUGCUGGGUCUUUACUGACGCUGAGGCACGAAAGCGUGGGGAGCAAACAGGAUUAGAUACCCUGGUAGUCCACGCCGUAAACGAUGAGUACUAAGUGUCGGGUAAAACCGGUACUGAAGUUAACACAUUAAGUACUCCGCCUGAGUAGUACGUACGCAAGUAUGAAACUUAAAGGAAUUGACGGGACUCCGCACAAGCGGUGGAUCAUGUUGUUUAAUUCGAAGAUACACGAAAAACCUUACCAGGUCUUGACAUUUUCUUGCGAAGUUAUAGAAAUAUAAUGGAGGUUAUCAGGAAAACAGGUGGUGCAUGGUUGUCGUCAGCUCGUGUCGUGAGAUGUUAGGUUAAGUCCUAAAACGAGCGCAACCCUUGUCGUUAAUUGCCAGCAUGUAAUGAUGGGGACUUUAACGAGACUGCCAAUGAAAAAUUGGAGGAAGGUGGGGAUUACGUCAAAUCAUCAUGCCCCUUAUGAUCUGGGCUACAAACGUGAUACAAUGGUUGAUACAAAGAGUAGCUGAAACGCGAGUUCUUAGCCAAUCUCACAAAAUCAAUCUCAGUUCGGAUUGAAGUCUGCAACUCGACUUCAUGAAGUUGGAAUCGCUAGUAAUCGCGAAUCAGCAUGUCGCGGUGAAUACGUUCUCGGGGUUUGUACACACCGCCCGUCAAACCACGAAAGUUGGCAAUACCCCAAAGCGGUCGCCUAACUUCGUAAGAAGAAGGAUCCGUCUAAGGUAGGGUCGAUAAUUGGGGUUAAGUCGUAACAAGGUAUCCCUACCGGAAGGUGGGGAUGGAUCACCUCCUUUCU